RNAcentral lists this ribosomal RNA (410 nucleotides) under uncultured bacterium. Its description in RNAcentral is "bacterial SSU rRNA". It matches the Rfam family "Bacterial small subunit ribosomal RNA", at positions 370 to 772 of the family's 1533-position model. The record is from RNAcentral.
AAUGGGGGAAACCCUGAUCCAGCCAUACCGCGUGAGUGAAGAAGGCCUUCGGGUUGUAAAGCUCUUUCGGCCGGGAAGAAAUCGCAUGGGUGAAUACCCUGUGUGGAUGACGGUACCGGAACAAGAAGCACCGGCUAACUACGUGCCAGCAGCCGCGGUAAUACGUAGGGUGCGAGCGUUAAUCGGAAUUACUGGGCGUAAAGCGUGCGCAGGCGGCUNACUAAGACAGAUGCGAAAUCCCCGGGCUUAACCUGGGAACUGCGUUUGUGACUGGUGGGCUUGAGUGCGGCAGAGGGGGGUGGAAUUCCACGUGUAGCAGUGAAAUGCGUAGAGAUGCGGAGGAACACCGAUGGCGAAGGCAGCCCCCUGGGUCGACACUGACGCUCAUGCACGAAAGCGUGGGGAGCGAA